This 68-nucleotide transfer RNA is filed under the name Marmota monax (woodchuck). Its description in RNAcentral is "tRNA.Ala". Lineage: Eukaryota; Metazoa; Chordata; Mammalia; Rodentia; Sciuridae. The record is from RNAcentral.
GUUGUAGCUCAGUGGUAGAGUGCUUGCCUAGCACAUACAAGGCCCUGGGUUUGAUUCUCAGCACCACA